RNAcentral lists this transfer RNA (82 nucleotides) under bacterium. RNAcentral describes it as "tRNA-Leu". It matches the Rfam family "tRNA". From Rfam's summary of the family: Transfer RNA (tRNA) molecules are approximately 80 nucleotides in length. Their secondary structure includes four short double-helical elements and three loops (D, anti-codon, and T loops). The record is from RNAcentral.
GGGUGAGUGGCGAAACUGGCAGACGCGCCAGAUUUAGGAUCUGGUGGGGCAACCCUUGGGGGUUCGAGUCCCCCCUCGCCCA